GGUUAAGUUAGAAAGGGCGCACGGUGGAUGCCUUGACACUAGGAGUCGAUGAAGGACGGGACUAACGCCGAUAUGCUUCGGGGAGCUGUAAGUAAGCUUUGAUCCGAAGAUUUCCGAAUGGGGAAACCCACCAUACGUAAUGGUAUGGUAUCCUUAUCUGAAUACAUAGGGUAAGGAAGACAGACCCAGGGAACUGAAACAUCUAAGUACCUGGAGGAAGAGAAAGCAAAUGCGAUUUCCUGAGUAGCGGCGAGCGAAACGGAACAUAGCCCAAACCAAGAGGCUUGCCUCUUGGGGUUGUAGGACAUUCUAUACGGAGUUACAAAGGAACGAGGUAGACGAAGCGACCUGGAAAGGUCCGUCGUAGAGGGUAACAACCCCGUAGUCGAAACUUCGUUCUCUCUUGAAUGUAUCCUGAGUACGGCGGAACACGUGAAAUUCCGUCGGAAUCUGGGAGGACCAUCUCCCAAGGCUAAAUACUCCCUAGUGAUCGAUAGUGAACCAGUACCGUGAGGGAAAGGUGAAAAGCACCCCGGAAGGGGAGUGAAAGAGAUCCUGAAACCGUGUGCCUACAAAUAGUCAGAGCCCGUUAACGGGUGAUGGCGUGCCUUUUGUAGAAUGAACCGGCGAGUUACGAUCCCGUGCGAGGUUAAGCUGAAGAGGCGGAGCCGUAGCGAAAGCGAGUCUGAAUAGGGCGUUUAGUACGUGGUCGUAGACCCGAAACCAGGUGAUCUACCCAUGUCCAGGGUGAAGUUCAGGUAACACUGAAUGGAGGCCCGAACCCACGCACGUUGAAAAGUGCGGGGAUGAGGUGUGGGUAGCGGAGAAAUUCCAAUCGAACCUGGAGAUAGCUGGUUCUCCCCGAAAUAGCUUUAGGGCUAGCCUUAAGUGUAAGAGUCUUGGAGGUAGAGCACUGAUUGGACUAGGGGUCCUCAUCGGAUUACCGAAUUCAGUCAAACUCCGAAUGCCAAUGACUUAUCCUUAGGAGUCAGACUGCGAGUGAUAAGAUCCGUAGUCAAAAGGGAAACAGCCCAGACCGCCGGCUAAGGUCCCAAAGUGUGUAUUAAGUGGAAAAGGAUGUGGAGUUGCUUAGACAACUAGGAUGUUGGCUUAGAAGCAGCCACCAUUUAAAGAGUGCGUAAUAGCUCACUAGUCGAGUGACUCUGCGCCGAAAAUGUACCGGGGCUAAAUACACCACCGAAGCUGCGGAUUGAUACCGAAUGGUAUCAGUGGUAGGGGAGCGUUCUAAGGACAGUGAAGUCAGACCGGAAGGACUGGUGGAGUGCUUAGAAGUGAGAAUGCCGGUAUGAGUAGCGAAAGACGGGUGAGAAUCCCGUCCACCGAAUGCCUAAGGUUUCCUGAGGAAGGCUCGUCCGCUCAGGGUUAGUCAGGACCUAAGCCGAGGCCGACAGGCGUAGGCGAUGGACAACAGGUUGAUAUUCCUGUACCACCUCUUUAUCGUUUGAGCAAUGGAGGGACGCAGAAGGAUAGAAGAAGCGUGCGAUUGGUUGUGCACGUCCAAGCAGUUAGGCUGAUAAGUAGGCAAAUCCGCUUAUCGUGAAGGCUGAGCUGUGAUGGGGAAGCUCCUUAUGGAGCGAAGUCUUUGAUUCCCCGCUGCCAAGAAAAGCUUCUAGCGAGAUAAAAGGUGCCUGUACCGCAAACCGACACAGGUAGGCGAGGAGAGAAUCCUAAGGUGUGCGAGAGAACUCUGGUUAAGGAACUCGGCAAAAUGACCCCGUAACUUCGGGAGAAGGGGUGCUUUCUUAACGGAAAGCCGCAGUGAAUAGGCCCAAGCGACUGUUUAGCAAAAACACAGCUCUCUGCGAAGCCGUAAGGCGAAGUAUAGGGGGUGACACCUGCCCGGUGCUGGAAGGUUAAGGAGAGGGGUUAGCGUAAGCGAAGCUCUGAACUGAAGCCCCAGUAAACGGCGGCCGUAACUAUAACGGUCCUAAGGUAGCGAAAUUCCUUGUCGGGUAAGUUCCGACCCGCACGAAAGGUGUAACGAUUUGGGCACUGUCUCAACCAGAGACUCGGUGAAAUUAUAGUACCUGUGAAGAUGCAGGUUACCCGCGACAGGACGGAAAGACCCCGUGGAGCUUUACUGUAGCCUGAUAUUGAAUUUUGGUACAGUUUGUACAGGAUAGGCGGGAGCCUUUGAAACCGGAGCGCUAGCUUCGGUGGAGGCGCCGGUGGGAUACCGCCCUGACUGUAUUGAAAUUCUAACCUACGGGUCUUAUCGACCCGGGAGACAGUGUCAGGUGGGCAGUUUGACUGGGGCGGUCGCCUCCUAAAGUGUAACGGAGGCGCCCAAAGGUUCCCUCAGAAUGGUUGGAAAUCAUUCGUAGAGUGCAAAGGCAUAAGGGAGCUUGACUGCGAGACCUACAAGUCGAGCAGGGACGAAAGUCGGGCUUAGUGAUCCGGUGGUUCCGCAUGGAAGGGCCAUCGCUCAACGGAUAAAAGCUACCCCGGGGAUAACAGGCUUAUCUCCCCCAAGAGUCCACAUCGACGGGGAGGUUUGGCACCUCGAUGUCGGCUCAUCGCAUCCUGGGGCUGUAGUCGGUCCCAAGGGUUGGGCUGUUCGCCCAUUAAAGCGGUACGCGAGCUGGGUUCAGAACGUCGUGAGACAGUUCGGUCCCUAUCCGUCGUGGGCGUAGGAAAUUUGAGAGGAGCUGUCCUUAGUACGAGAGGACCGGGAUGGACGCACCGCUGGUGUACCAGUUGUUCUGCCAAGGGCAUAGCUGGGUAGCUAUGUGCGGAAGGGAUAAGUGCUGAAAGCAUCUAAGCAUGAAGCCCCCCUCAAGAUGAGAUUUCCCAUAGCGUAAGCUAGUAAGAUCCCUGAAAGAUGAUCAGGUUGAUAGGUUCGAGGUGGAAGCAUGGUGACAUGUGGAGCUGACGAAUACUAAUAGAUCGAGGACUUAACCAU
This 2923-nucleotide ribosomal RNA is filed under the name Bacillus paranthracis. RNAcentral's name for it is "23S ribosomal RNA". It matches the Rfam family "Bacterial large subunit ribosomal RNA". The record is from RNAcentral. Lineage: Bacteria; Bacillati; Bacillota; Bacilli; Caryophanales; Bacillaceae.